GGAAUAUUGCACAAUGGGCGCAAGCCUGAUGCAGCAACGCCGCGUGAGGGAUGACGGCCUUCGGGUUGUAAACCUCUUUUAGCAGGGAAGAAGCGAAAGUGACGGUACCUGCAGAAAAAGCGCCGGCUAACUACGUGCCAGCAGCCGCGGUAAUACGUAGGGCGCAAGCGUUAUCCGGAAUUAUUGGGCGUAAAGAGCUCGUAGGCGGUUUGUCGCGUCUGCUGUGAAAUCCGGAGGCUCAACCUCCGGCCUGCAGUGGGUACGGGCAGACUAGAGUGCGGUAGGGGAGAUUGGAAUUCCUGGUGUAGCGGUGGAAUGCGCAGAUAUCAGGAGGAACACCGAUGGCGAAGGCAGAUCUCUGGGCCGUAACUGACGCUGAGGAGCGAAAGGGUGGGGAGCAAACAGGAUUAGAUACCCUUG
This 420-nucleotide ribosomal RNA is filed under the name uncultured Microbacterium sp. RNAcentral describes it as "bacterial SSU rRNA". It matches the Rfam family "Bacterial small subunit ribosomal RNA", at positions 358 to 790 of the family's 1533-position model. Lineage: Bacteria; Bacillati; Actinomycetota; Actinomycetes; Micrococcales; Microbacteriaceae. The record is from RNAcentral.